CCCAGCCCAAAAACCUUUCGUCGGACUCGAAACUACUUUAAGAAGAGUAAUGUACUCCAUCUCCUUUUCCAGACUAGAGUCUUUUGGGAAACCAUUCAAAGCUUAUUUUCUAACUAUCCUUCUGUGACCACUCAAAAGAAACCAAAACUACAUACCGAGGCGGUGAAACUGAUUUCCAUCUAUAUACUAUAAAACUCUGGUCUUUACCUGGACAACAAUAAUUUUUGAAGCAAACGAGCUAACUUAUAAAAUGUACCUAAGACGCAGAACCAAUGACUCCUGGGAGAAUGAAAUUUGGGGAAGUUGUGGCUGUUCCAGUACUCACAAAUGAAGACAAAUAUAUGUGUCCCAGGAUAAUGUUGCAGGAUCCAAUCUGGAUCGGUCACCAGGACCAGAGUUUAAGUCUUCCAAGCUUUUGGACUCGUGCUGGAGCUCAUCUUCAGGAAACUUCUCUCUCACCAGUAUUCAGUUCCAAAUAGUUUAGAUGCUUCACGGAGUGAUGAAAGAAUAUUGUUCCUUCAAUGCUGUCAGUGAAGGAGCUAACACUACUCAUUUCCCAACACGAUUCCUUAACUGAACUCUCUGGAUUAUCAUCACAUAAACUGAAUUGAAGAUAGACUCUCCCAUUAUUUUAAUGAGUAACUUGGAUCUUCCAAGGCUUGCAAUGGAACACAAGUGAUAGUGGGGAAACUCCACAAGAAUCUUAUUGUAACAAAGAUAUACAUUGAUCCAUUCAAAAAUGACCUUGUCAUGAUUCCAAGAAUUAAGCUCAAUUUAUCAGAAGAUGAAGAUACCCCUCUUCAGUGGGCACAGUUUCCAAUACAGUCGUACUUUGCUUUCACAAGGCAAAGACAAACCAUGUAGAUUAUGCUGCUUUAUCUGGAGAAACUGGUGUCCCAGCAUGGUUAACUGCCUGACACUUUAAGUUGAGGAAAUAAUAUUGUUAUCAAAAGCAUCUUUUGUUAAAAGGCAUUUAUAUUUGUCUUGCUACAAAUCUUUCUUUUUUAAUAAAAUGAUGUUUUUUUUCUUUAAUUUUAAAAUCAAAACAAUAACCAUCAA
Pantherophis guttatus is the source of this 1059-nucleotide long non-coding RNA. RefSeq lists it as uncharacterized. The record is from RefSeq and is a predicted model, not a curated record. NCBI's taxonomy places the organism in Eukaryota, Metazoa, Chordata, Lepidosauria, Squamata, Colubridae.